UACGUAGGGGCAAGCGUUGUCCGGAAUGAUUGGGCGUAAAGGGCGCGCAGGCGGUCUCUUAAGUCUGAUGUGAAAGGCCACGGCUCAACCGUGGGAUGGCAUUGGAAACUGGGGGACUUGCGUUCAGGAGAGGAGAGCGGAAUUCCCGGUGUAGCGGUGAAAUGCGUAGAGAUCGGGAAGAACACCAGUGGCGAAGGCGGCUCUCUGGCCUGACACGGACGCUGAGGCGCGAAAGCGUGGGGAGCGAACAGGAUUAGAUACCCUGGUA
RNAcentral lists this ribosomal RNA (268 nucleotides) under uncultured prokaryote. RNAcentral describes it as "partial 16S ribosomal RNA". It matches the Rfam family "Bacterial small subunit ribosomal RNA", at positions 524 to 792 of the family's 1533-position model. The record is from RNAcentral.